RNAcentral lists this ribosomal RNA (253 nucleotides) under uncultured bacterium. RNAcentral's name for it is "partial 16S ribosomal RNA". It matches the Rfam family "Bacterial small subunit ribosomal RNA", at positions 524 to 776 of the family's 1533-position model. The record is from RNAcentral.
UACGUAGGCAGCAAGCGUUGUUCGGAGUUACUGGGCGUAAAGGGUGUGUAGGCGGUUGUUUAAGUUUGGUGUGAAAUCUCCCGGCUCAACUGGGAGGGUGCGCCGAAUACUGAAUGACUAGAGUGUGGGAGAGGUGAGUGGAAUUCCUGGUGUAGCGGUGAAAUGCGUAGAUAUCAGGAGGAACACCGGUGGCGAAGGCGGGUCUCUGGGCCGAUACUGACGCUGAGGAGCGAAAGCGUGGGGAGCAAACAGG